UACAGAGGUGGCAAGCGUUGUUCGGAUUCAUUGGGCGUAAAGGGUGCGUAGGCGGCGCGGUAAGUCGGGUGUGAAAUCUCGGAGCUUAACUCCGAAACUGCAUUCGAUACUGCCGUGCUUGAGGACUGGAGAGGAGACUGGAAUUUACGGUGUAGCGGUGAAAUGCGUAGAUAUCGUAAGGAAGACCAGUGGCGAAGGCGGGUCUCUGGACAGUUCCUGAUGCUGAGGCACGAAGGUCAGGGGAGCAAACGGG
This 253-nucleotide ribosomal RNA is filed under the name uncultured bacterium. RNAcentral's name for it is "partial 16S ribosomal RNA". It matches the Rfam family "Bacterial small subunit ribosomal RNA", at positions 524 to 776 of the family's 1533-position model. The record is from RNAcentral.